CCCGGCGGUCAUAAUGCAGUGGUACCACCUGAUACCUUGCCGAACUCAGAAGUGAAACGCUGUGAUGCCGAUGGUAGUGUAGGGCUUCCCUAUGUGAGAGUAGGAUACCGCCGGGG
Molecule: ribosomal RNA, 116 nt
Filed under: Mergibacter septicus
Lineage: Bacteria; Pseudomonadati; Pseudomonadota; Gammaproteobacteria; Pasteurellales; Pasteurellaceae
Source: RNAcentral